GUUUUCCCCGGCAGGAGGGGCCCCCCGCUCUCGCGCGUGAGUUCCUUAAAUGACUCGGCGGCGCUUUCCGGAAAACCAAAGUUUUUCGGUUCCGGGGGAAGUAUGGUUGCAAAGCUGAAACUUAAAGGAAUUGACGGAGGGGCACCCCCAGGAGUGGACCCUGCGGCUUAUUUUGACUCAACACGAGAAAACUUCCCCGGCCUGGACACUGGAAGGAUUGACAGAUUGAGACCUCUUUCUUGAUUCAGGGGGGGGGGGUGCAUGGCCGUUCUUAGUUGGUGAAGCGAUUUGUCUGGUUAAUUCCAAUAACAAACGAAACUCUACCCUAUUAAAUAGGCUCCCGGUUUUUAAACCCCGGGAGGACUUCUUAAAGGGACAGGGGGGGGUUCACCCCCAAGAAAAACAAAAAUAACUGUCUGUACCCCCCUUUGUUGCCGGGCGCCCCCCCCCCCCAACACGAAAAAGAUCAGCGUGCUUUUUUUUCCUGCCCCGACCGAGAGAGGGAAACCCUGAGCACCUUCCGAGAGAGUGAGAUAAUAGAGUGUAUAUUUCUUCUUGAUGAACGAAUACUUCCUAGAUGAGGCGAAUCGUAUCGUGUUGAUUGAUUCCCUGCCUGUCUGUACGCACCACCGUCCGUCUACCUAUUGAUUGAUUCUAUGUAGUGAUGCAUCGGCACUGCCGACCUCUUCGUCUUGCCGCGGUCCGGGUGAAGCUGGACCGAUGUUCAUACUUGAACGAUAACAAGAACUAAAAUCGUACGAGUUACCUAGGGGACGAUGCAUGACGAUUACGGGCGAUUAAUCAUCUGCUAGAUAGUCGAUUCAUAUGACGCUAUCGUACGUGGUACG
RNAcentral lists this ribosomal RNA (848 nucleotides) under uncultured eukaryote. RNAcentral's name for it is "partial 18S ribosomal RNA". It matches the Rfam family "Eukaryotic small subunit ribosomal RNA", at positions 1065 to 1831 of the family's 1831-position model. The record is from RNAcentral.